RNAcentral lists this ribosomal RNA (275 nucleotides) under uncultured bacterium. Its description in RNAcentral is "partial 16S ribosomal RNA". It matches the Rfam family "Bacterial small subunit ribosomal RNA", at positions 523 to 796 of the family's 1533-position model. The record is from RNAcentral.
AGACGGAGGGCGCAAGCGUUGUUCGGAAUUACUGGGCGUAAAGGGCAGGUAGGUGGUCUGUUAAGUCUUCUGUGAAAAUCCGGGGCUCAACCCCGCGAAAUGCAGGUGAAACUGGCAGACUGGAGACCGGUAGAGGCUAGCGGAAUUCCUGGUGUAGCGGUGGAAUGCGUAGAUAUCAGGAAGAACACCUGUGGCGAAGGCGGCUAGCUGGGCCGGUACUGACACUAAACUGCGAAAGCGUGGGGAGCAAACAGGAUUAGAUACCCCGGUAGUCC